AUGGCCUGGUCCCCUCUGCUCCUCAUGCUCCUCUCUCAUUGCACAGGAUCCUGGGCCCAGUCUGUGCUGACUCAGCCACAAUCAGUGUCUGGGAACCUGGGCCAGAGGGUCUCCCUCUCCUGCACUGGAAGCAGCUCCAACAUUGGGACUUACAGUGUGGCCUGGCUCCAACAGCUCCCAGGAACAGCCCCCAAACUCCUGAUACAUGGUACCAGCAAUCGACCUGCGGGGAUCCCUGAUCGAUUCUCUGGCUCCAAGUCUGGCAGCUCAGCCACCCUGACCAUGGCUGGUCUCCAGCCUGACGACGAGGCUGAUUAUUACUGCCAGAGCUAUGACUACAGUCUCAGUGGCCCCCCCUUGCUCCAGCGCAUCCACGUCCUGAUUCCCAAGGCCAUUCAUGCAAGAUGCUGCUGCUCUAUCAACGAGGGCAUGGAGCUAGAGGCACACCAGCAAGCAGUGGGCCAGGAUCUGGAGAUGCUCACAGAAUCGAGGUCCCUAUUAGCAAGACAAACCCACGGGAUUGAAGAAGGCUUGGCAACAUGGGCAUCCCCCCAUCAGCCUUGGACUUUGUGA
Talpa occidentalis (Iberian mole) is the source of this 573-nucleotide non-coding RNA. The record is from the annotation of a RefSeq genome assembly. Lineage: Eukaryota; Metazoa; Chordata; Mammalia; Eulipotyphla; Talpidae.